AGUGGGGGAAGAGGCAGGGCCUGGCACGCAGGAAGAGCUCAAGAUCCAUACAGAAGGGGUUUGCCAGAUGCUGGUUGAUGAGUGAACAGAGAAACAAGCUCAAAGCACUUUAGAGGUCGCUUAGCUUGGAUCGUCCCUGGCAGUUUACAGAGGAGAAAACAGAGGCAGAGUGAUUUGCUCGGGGUCAGAGUCAGGAUGCAACCUGGAGGUUUUGACUUCUGUCCAAGGCUCUUUCCACCCCCUCAAAUGGCAGCAGCUGGGUGGAGGAGGGAACCCUGCCUCCCUUGAUGCCAUGUUGGCCCUAGGCUAGGAAGGGCAGUGUUCAGUGUCCCUCACAGCAGACAUCUCUGCCAAUCACUGAGCAUCAAGAUCUUCCGUUCCAGCUUCUGAAGCUUCGUUCAUUUUCCUUGUUCAUGGUAGAACUUCAAAAAAAAAAAGAAAGUGUGUGGGAUUGAAUUGAAUUGAGUUGAAUUUCUCUGGGCCUUGAUUGCUCCAUCUGUAAAACGGGAGCGAUCCUUCAUUUAUUCACUCGUUCAUUGAACAAAUGUUUGUAGAGCCUCUGUGGAUCCUGUUUGGGCCUACAGUGGACACUGAGGCUGCAAAGAUGGCCAUAGUGAGAGCUCUGCACACACACAGCUCGGAGAACCUCAACGAUCCGUCAACAAUGCCUGAUCUUUUUUCGCUUGCUGGGGCCUGCACGGGAGCAGGGACAUGGGACUUGGGAGAACACAGCCGAGGGGCUGUUUGUUUGGCUUGGGACAGAGAUAAAGAAAGUUCACAGGGGACGUGGCCUUUGAGCUGCCUUCUGAAGGAUAACUAGGUGCGCGGGGUUUAUUGGCCUUGCUGCUCUUUAGAGAUUGCUCUUGGCUGACGAUGCCCUGUGUAUGACAGGCCUUGUUGGGAGCAGGCGCAGAGAUUAUUUCAGAGCUCGAGGUUUGUGCUGCUUUAAUGUGAUGACGCUUCCUCUUGCCAAGCCCUUGCAACCCCUAUUUCGACUCCUGCCCCUAGUGUGGGGUUGCCAGACUU
RNAcentral lists this long non-coding RNA (1026 nucleotides) under Equus asinus (donkey). Its description in RNAcentral is "lncRNA (ENSEASG00005029933.1)". The record is from RNAcentral. Lineage: Eukaryota; Metazoa; Chordata; Mammalia; Perissodactyla; Equidae.